RNAcentral lists this unclassified non-coding RNA (400 nucleotides) under soil metagenome. Its description in RNAcentral is "partial contains 5.8S ribosomal RNA, internal transcribed spacer 2, and large subunit ribosomal RNA". The stretch from base 1 to 122 matches the Rfam family "5.8S ribosomal RNA", at positions 35 to 154 of the family's 154-position model. The record is from RNAcentral.
GAUGAAGAACGCAGCGAAAUGCGAUACUUGGCGUGAAUUGCAGAAUCCCGUGAACCAUCGAGUCUUUGAACGCAAGUUGCGCCUCAAGCCAUUAGGUUGAGGGCACGUCUGCCUGGGCGUCACAUAUCGUUGCCUGAUGCCAGUUUCCUCGUGAUGGGUGACUGUGCAGGGCGAAUGAUGGCUUCCCGUGAGCAUUGUUGCCUCAUGGUUGGUUGAAAAUUGAGUCCUUGGUAGGGAGCGCCGUGAUAGAUGGUGGUUGAGUGACGAACGAGACCCAAUCAUGUGAGACCCCUACCGAAUUUGGCCUUCAUGACCCACAUGCGUCUUUGGAACGCUCAUGACGAGACCUCAGGUCAGGCGGGGCUACCCGCUGAGUUUAAGCAUAUCAAUAAGCGGAGGA